GUGGAGGAGGCCGUGGGAGGAAGAGGAGGAAGGAGGGUAGGUCGGAGGCCUUGCCUCCUGGCUCUGGCCAGGCUUGCUCAGGGCCCCUCCAUCUCUCUCUCUCUCUCUCUCACACACACACACACACACACACACACACACACACACGUAUACUUUGCACUCAGAUCCAAGAUUUGAUCUGGUCUAAGCCCCACGUCCCCAGGCAGGAAUGAAGCUAGUCUCACAGCAGCACCGUUUGUAGAGUACCGACCGGGCGCCAGGCACUGCCAGGCACUGAGUGCAUCAUCUCAUUUAAUCCUCAUCCGCCAGGAGGGUGGGGCCAUUAUAACGUCUACUCUACAGACCAGGAAACCGAGGCUCAGAGGCGUUAACACCCUACCCAAGCGUCAGCAUGAUCUCCCUCUAGGGCUCUGGAGGCAGAAGACCUCCCUGACUGGGUCACGCGGAUGUGAGCUCGUGAACUGAGGGUGCCCUGCAUGGACUCCUUACGGCGGGACAGCCUCGUGCCAAGGCCUGCAGCCAUGUUCCCUUGUCUAGUCCUCACGGCAGUUCCACCAGAAGGCUGCUAUGACGGCCUCCCCCCGACAGAUGAGGAAACUGAGGCUCAGAGAGGCCUUGUCCACAGUCACGUAGCUUGUAAAGGUUUCAGAGCCUCACGACCUCCUCUGGCUGCUCCCCUCAGGCUGGCCCCAGGGCCUGGGCAGCUGUGGGGCCCUGGGCCCCGAGGCAAGGCCCCCUCUUCUGUUGCCAAGGUGGCAGAGGAAGGUGCCUACCUGCCCCUCCCAGGCGCGGUGCAGCGCCACGGCACCCAUGGAACGCGGCUGCAUUCCUGUGGCAGGGGUGUGGCUGCCCGCGGCCGUGUGCCCCAGGCCUGUGCCUGCUGCUGAGCCGCCCAGCGCCCGCGCUGAGUCAGCAGGCCGGCAGCCCUGUCCCUCCCAGCAAAGCCCCAUCACCAGGAGGGUGGUGGCGGCCGCGCAAAGGAGGAAACUCGACUUCCCUUGGAGGAGGGGGGCGCCUUGGGUUCUAAGCUGGGGACCCAGGCGGGGAGCAGCAGGAGGCAGGACCUUCAGAGCCAGAGGGGGGACUUCAGACUGGACAGGAGGCAACUGUGCUUUCCUCAGCGUCUUCUGUGUGCCAGGCGCCGUGCUGGCGGCCGGCGAGCUUCUCUUAUCUCACGUAAUAAAACUGACUCACUAUCCUGAUCCCCCAUUUUGCAUAUGGGGAAACUGAGGCGCGGCCAGGCCCUUAGCGAGCAAAGGGCAUGGACAGGCCUCGGAGCUAUGCUCAGUCUGCCGGGAGGGGGAUGCGGGAGGGACCCCCUGUUGCACCAGGCUUGCCCAAUGUGAGCCUGGACUAGCCACUCCCCCCUGAGCCUCAGUUUCCCAUCUCUGUGGGGGUCAGCCGAGGGUCUCUCCGAGCCCUGAGAAGGAAGGGAAAGUGAGAGGCCGCACAACUUCCUCCUCCCGCUAUUUGCUCUUGAUUAGGGACAAGUCACUUCCCCUGGCUGGUCUCACCCUCUCGGCCAGCCUUUGAUCUCCUGGCGGUGCCUGCCUUCAGAUCCCUUUAUCUUUAUGGGCAAUGCCCCUGGGUGCCACCCUCACCCGUCCGCACCCCACACUGGCAUCCGGAGGGCAGAGAGGGAGAAACGAGAGUGGGAAGUGGAGGGCCAGGGGCCAGGAGGGGC
Molecule: long non-coding RNA, 1684 nt
Organism: Equus caballus (horse)
Lineage: Eukaryota; Metazoa; Chordata; Mammalia; Perissodactyla; Equidae
Source: Ensembl